GUGGGGAAUAUUGGACAAUGGGCGCAAGCCUGAUCCAGCCAUGCCGCGUGAGUGAUGAAGGCCCUAGGGUUGUAAAGCUCUUUCACCGGUGAAGAUAAUGACGGUAACCGGAGAAGAAGCCCCGGCUAACUUCGUGCCAGCAGCCGCGGUAAUACGAAGGGGGCUAGCGUUGUUCGGAAUUACUGGGCGUAAAGCGCACGUAGGCGGACAUUUAAGUCAGGGGUGAAAUCCCAGAGCUCAACUCUGGAACUGCCUUUGAUACUGGGUGUCUUGAGUAUGGAAGAGGUAAGUGGAAUUCCGAGUGUAGAGGUGAAAUUCGUAGAUAUUCGGAAGAACACCAGUGGCGAAGGCGACACACUGGCCCGUUACUGACGCUGAGGCGCGAAAGCGUGGGGAGCAAACAGGAUUAGAAACCCGAGUAGUCC
RNAcentral lists this ribosomal RNA (425 nucleotides) under uncultured bacterium. RNAcentral's name for it is "partial 16S ribosomal RNA". It matches the Rfam family "Bacterial small subunit ribosomal RNA", at positions 354 to 796 of the family's 1533-position model. The record is from RNAcentral.